UACGUAGGGUCCGAGCGUUGUCCGGAAUUACUGGGCGUAAAGCGCGCGCAGGCGGCUUCCCAAGCGCCACGUGAAAGCCCCGGGCUCAACCCGGGAGGGUCGCGGCGAACUGGGAGGCUUGAGGCCGGUAGAGGUGGGUGGAACUCCUGGUGGAGUGGUGGAAUGCGUAGAGAUCAGGAAGAACACCCGUGGCGAAGGCGGCCCACUGGGCCGGUGCUGACGCUGAGGCGCGAAGGCGUGGGGAGCGAACGGG
This 253-nucleotide ribosomal RNA is filed under the name uncultured bacterium. Its description in RNAcentral is "partial 16S ribosomal RNA". It matches the Rfam family "Bacterial small subunit ribosomal RNA", at positions 524 to 776 of the family's 1533-position model. The record is from RNAcentral.